Molecule: ribosomal RNA, 380 nt
Filed under: uncultured eukaryote
Lineage: Eukaryota
Description: partial 18S ribosomal RNA
Rfam family: Eukaryotic small subunit ribosomal RNA
Source: RNAcentral
CAAUAGCGUAUAUUAAAGUUGUUGCGGUUAAAAAGCUCGUAGUUGGAUUUCUGCUGAGAACGACCGGUCCGCCCUUUGGGUGUGUAUCUGGCUCUUUCUUGGCAUCUUCUUGGUGAACGUUGCUGCACUUGACUGUGUGGAGCGCUACCCAGGACUUUUACUUUGAGGAAAUUAGAGUGUUUCAAGCAGGCAUACGCCUUGAAUACAUUAGCAUGGAAUAAUAAGAUAGGACCUCGGUUCUAUUUUGUUGGUUUCUAGAGCUGAGGUAAUGAUUAAUAGGGAUAGUUGGGGGCAUUCGUAUUUAACUGUCAGAGGUGAAAUUCUCGGAUUUGUUAAAGACGGACUACUGCGAAAGCAUUUGCCAAGGAUGUUUACAUUGA